UAAAAAGAUAUAUAACAAAAAAUGGAAAUAUUUUAUAUAUUUUCAAAUAGUUUGGAUUGUUAUCAAUCCUAUGGUGACUUAUGUUUCCCACUGUACUGUUAGUCAGAUGCUUCUCCAAUGACAGGAUUAUAUAGUUGCCAUUAGCAUUGCAGCCUGGUGCUUCAUGAGAACUACACAAAUGUUAAUGGAGACCUCUCCUGGAAGCCAGGGAUACUAUAUCAGGAAAUAUUCAGGAUUUAGCAUACCUUCUGAGGUAACUGAGUAACUAGACUAUUAAAUUGCUGCUAUCUGGACCUAUUAUUAAAGGGUGAAGAUUUGCCUGUGUAAUGGAAUGUAUCCUAAGUGGGGAUGUAUAUAUUUAAGGAAUUUUAAUUCACAUGUAUAUAUUGUUAUCUGAUACAUGUAUAGUGCAUUUGUUGGUCAUGUACUUUUUAAUUUACCAUUUGUAUAGAACAUAGAUGAGAACUGUGGGAAAACUUUCCAAUGGCGACCAUCCAAAACCAUUUUUUAAUCAUUUAUUAGAAAUUUCUCAACAAUGACUUUGUUUUCCUUCAGCUCUCUAAACACUUCAGAAAAAAUCCCCUCUCCCAUCACUGUGUUUCAUAUUAGUAUAAACGUAAAUGUACAUAUAUUUGAAUAGUUAAUUUGCUUUGUUUUACCCAUAGCCUUCUCCUUCAUCUUAAAGGGCAUUCAUCACUGCUCAGGGGGUCACAGAAACUCAGCUGACACUGAAUUUUUGUACCAAGAAUGUCAGAGAUGGCAAUGGACUCUUCCAUUAGUAAACUCUGAACGUGGCUUCGCAAAGGCUCUUUAAACAGGGGCAGAUUUCAGUAACUGAAAUGCUCUGAUCUGAGAGGAAGAGCUCAUGAAUUUGGAGUAAAAGUGUAGAAAAGUUCUAUGCUAUAUCCGUGGCAAAACCAAAAGAAACUGUCUUCUCACAGAGAAUUUGUAACAGGAUUAGCUACCUUUGGAAGGGGGGACAGGGCUAGGGAGUAAGGAAUGUUUGUCAAACAAUUUAAAGUAACUGGACUUAAUGAUGUAAAGUGCCUGAAACAUGGUGACUUCUACCUUAAAUAAUGAAAUGUGCGUGAGUUGUCAGAACUAACAAGAACAGGUUGGUAGGCUGAAUCCAGACAUAUCUCUGGUGCAUCAAAGGAGAUGAUGCAAGCCACACUAGACUUCUCCACAAAGGAGAGAGCUGACAGCGUUAAUGUUGGAGCCUGAUAUUUUCAUCUUGGAUAAUUGGCCAGUGACAAGAGUUUAGCUUUGUUUCCUUCCCUUUAGGCUUUAUCCUUUCCUAGAGAUCCUCUUUCUGUCCCAGAACAAGCACAAGUCGACAUAAGACUGGCUGUUAUAACAAAAUCUCCUUGUGUUUGGAGUAGCAUAGUCUGUUUGAAAUAGAAUGUUUAAAUUGGCUAAGCUGUGAUCUGGUAUAAAAACACAACAUCCAGACGUGGUCAGAUAUAAUGGUACAAAUCUGGCCGUUGCCUUUUCUAGGGAUUUUUCUCUUGCUAUUAGACAGGGAAGUGAGGGGAAAGCCAUAUGGAAGCAGAUGUUAGAAUCUUAGGCAUCUUAUUUGUUCAUGCCACGGGUAUUUGCUUUGGACUUGAAAUCUGUACUUUGAAAGUGGCCUUUGAAAAACAAAUAAUUCACAGCGUGAAUUUUUCUUGUCAUCUGCAUCACAGAACUGUUAUCUAUUCAGGUUUGAAAAAUCUACAUGUUUAUUUGAAUGUAAAUCACUGUUGCUUGGAACCUAAAUUUUCUCUUAAAAGUAUUCAGGAUCUAUGUAUGUAUUUCUUUAGCUUUUUGUACUCAGUGCUUCUAAAGGACUUUUCUUUCUGUUUAUGAAUAGCCGCCUUUAUGUGUAUAGAAUUGUGUAUAUGUGUGCAGUUUUAAGGACUAUUUCAGAAAUGCCUUAGAUGAGUGACAUUUUAUAAAGCUGUCAGAAUUAAUAUCUCUAAGCUUUUACAUCUUAUGUUGACUCAUGACCCAGGAUGUUUUGUGAUGUACUUCUGAAAUUGCUGUUGUACUAUAUUUUUCCAGGUCUUUGGGAAGAAAAUAACUGUUUUAGUUUCUCUCGCCCCAAUAAAUGUGAGCAGGAAAUCAAGUGUGUUUACCUUUGUUGUGCCACACAAUUAAAGACACAUUCAGUCUUAUCCUAAUAAGAGCCACCCAAGUUACUGUUAAAAACUAGAUGCAAAAUUUACAAAAAGUACUAGAAUUUACAAAAAAUACCAGCAUUUGCAGUAUGGAAAUAACUCUUGAUAUUUGUUUCUUAAAAGAAACAGGCAAGUAUAAUGGCUUUACUUGUUGAAGACAUUCUUAUUCUGUGUGUGGUAUUCCUUCCUGCUAGUGCUCAAGACUUGAUCAUUGUCCAGAGAAAUAGCCAAUAAUAUAGGUCUUUCUUUCAUCAUUCUGAUAAACAACAUUGCUAGAUGUCAUUCAUCCUCUAAAGUGAGGGCUGGGCUAAGUGCUCUUUAAGAUCAGUUCUAACCUUCCAGAAGUUUGUUAGAAAAAUGUGUUUCCUUGUUAGGUUUUUAAAGAAAGGAUUUAUGUUAGAGUGUUAACUUAAGGUUAUUUCCAUUUGAUUAGUAUUCAAGGCAGGACUUGCCUAAGUUGAGCGCCAGAAGUUGGCUAACAGCUAGCUAGAACUUGUGUUUCUCCAAAACUGAAAGCUCACUUUACUUGUGUUGUUGCCUUUUUAUUGAAUGUUACAUUCCUUCUGACAUGAUUUCUGAAUUCGAAAGUUUAUAAUUGACUUACAAAUCAAAUUUUAUUUUCUAAUCAUUCACUUUUGGGGAAAUCAAUAUGAUCAUGUCAUAACAUUUUUGAGUUGUGGUUUCUUAAUUUUCUUAAUCAUUUCCUAGAAUGUCAACAUUAUUUCAUUUUCAAAGUGUGCUUACUGUUUGCUAAGCUUAAUUUGCAUUCCCAAAGAAAUACUGAAUGAACCAUUUUUUGUAGCAGUGAUUUUAAUCAGUGCCCUACCCAGCACACUCAUUGCAGUGUAAAUUAUAAAUGUAGUGAAUUUGGAAGAGAAUUAUAAUUAAAUUUUUCUGUAAUUCAGUCAUUUUCAUUUGUUAGAUAGCAAAUCUAGUUUUUCUUUGUAUCGUAAAGAUCAUGUCCAACUCUAUAUUUGAAAAAUAAAUGAAUUUCUUCAAAUACUUUAACAGCAA
Long non-coding RNA from Heterocephalus glaber (naked mole-rat), 3173 nucleotides. The record is from Ensembl. NCBI's taxonomy places the organism in Eukaryota, Metazoa, Chordata, Mammalia, Rodentia, Bathyergidae.